GAGUUUGAUCUUGGCUCAGAUUGAACGCUGGCGGCAUGCCUUACACAUGCAAGUCGAACGGCAGCACGGGAGCUUGCUCCUGGUGGCGAGUGGCGAACGGGUGAGUAAUGCAUCGGAACGUAUCCUGGAGUGGGGGAUAACGUAGCGAAAGUUACGCUAAUACCGCAUAUUCUGUGAGCAGGAAAGCGGGGGACCUUCGGGCCUCGCGCUCUUGGAGCGGCCGAUGUCGGAUUAGCUAGUUGGUGAGGUAAAGGCUCACCAAGGCGACGAUCCGUAGCAGGUCUGAGAGGAUGAUCUGCCACACUGGAACUGAGACACGGUCCAGACUCCUACGGGAGGCAGCAGUGGGGAAUUUUGGACAAUGGGGGCAACCCGUGAUCCAGCCAUGCCGCGUGAGUGAAGAAGGCCUCGG
RNAcentral lists this ribosomal RNA (412 nucleotides) under bacterium enrichment culture clone ALO1_GLFRUDD03G3DCF. RNAcentral's name for it is "bacterial SSU rRNA". It matches the Rfam family "Bacterial small subunit ribosomal RNA", at positions 9 to 420 of the family's 1533-position model. The record is from RNAcentral.